UUGGGUGGCCAUAGCGACAGGGUCACACCCGUUCCCAUCCCGAACACGGAAGUUAAGCCUGUCAGCGCCGAUGGUACUUGGGGGUAGACCCCCUGGGAGAGUAGGACGCCGCCCGAU
Ilumatobacter coccineus YM16-304 is the source of this 117-nucleotide ribosomal RNA. Lineage: Bacteria; Bacillati; Actinomycetota; Acidimicrobiia; Acidimicrobiales; Ilumatobacteraceae. The record is from Rfam.